GAUGAACGCUGGCGGCGUGCCUAAUACAUGCAAGUCGAGCGAACAGACGAGGAGCUUGCUCCUCUAACGUUAGCGGCGGACGGGUGAGUAACACGUGGAUAACCUACCUAUAAGACUGGGAUAACUUCGGGAAACCGGAGCUAAUACCGGAUAAUAUAUUGAACCGCAUGGUUCAAUAGUGAAAGACGGUUUUGCUGUCACUUAUAGAUGGAUCCGCGCCGCAUUAGCUAGUUGGUAAGGUAACAGCUUACCAAGGCAACGAUGCGUAGCCGACCUGAGAGGGUGAUCGGCCACACUGGAACUGAGACACGGUCCAGACUCCUACGGGAGGCAGCAGUAGGGAAUCUUCCGCAAUGGGCGAAAGCCUGACGGAGCAACGCCGCGUGAGUGAUGAAGGUCUUCGGAUCGUAAAACUCUGUUAUUAGGGAAGAACAAAUGUGUAAGUAACUAUGCACGUCUUGACGGUACCUAAUCAGAAAGCCACGGCUAACUACGUC
This 497-nucleotide ribosomal RNA is filed under the name uncultured bacterium. Its description in RNAcentral is "partial 16S ribosomal RNA". It matches the Rfam family "Bacterial small subunit ribosomal RNA", at positions 28 to 507 of the family's 1533-position model. The record is from RNAcentral.